Molecule: long non-coding RNA, 368 nt
Organism: Cotesia glomerata
Lineage: Eukaryota; Metazoa; Arthropoda; Insecta; Hymenoptera; Braconidae
Exons: 3
Source: RefSeq, a predicted model, not a curated record
CGCGUCGUUUAUUUUUUUUUUUUUUUCUAAUUAAAUUUUAACCUACAAGGUCAUUGUCGGAGAUGUAAAAUUGCGUAUUGGAGUCAACAGAAUGACACUUAGUAUUUUUUAUCAACAUUGUCACUUUUUUUAGAUAUUUAUUGAAGAAUUAUUUUAUGUUUGAUGAUCCAGUCUACCUGAUCACUCUCAAUACUACUCCAGCUCCAGAGUCCAGCGAUUCCACGGUACCUUGGUGCGAUGUGUUCGAGGUCGCUUGACGGGCAGCUGGUAACUCCUUGCAUCUUGCAUCUUACAUUGAAGAGUACAGAGGCGUUUGGACCGCAGACCACACCGAGCCACGCACGAUAAUAACCCAGUGCUUGAAGUUG